Spinacia oleracea (spinach) is the source of this 1804-nucleotide long non-coding RNA. RefSeq lists it as uncharacterized. NCBI's taxonomy places the organism in Eukaryota, Viridiplantae, Streptophyta, Magnoliopsida, Caryophyllales, Amaranthaceae. The record is from RefSeq and is a predicted model, not a curated record. The transcript is spliced from 6 exons.
GAGGGACAGAGUUGAGAAGAAGAUGGAUUAAUUUGAGGGAGUAAAUUCCUUUUUGUUAAUUUUUGUUAAUGAUUUUUGUUUUCAAUUUCAUUUAAUUGGGAUUAAAUUGGUUGAAAUUAUAAUUAUGACAUCACAUUCCGAUUAAGUUAGCAGGAAUGUGACCCGGGGUUGAAAUUUAAUAAGGGAGCUUAAGUUUUGGGUUGUAAUUAACAAAAAUGAGAGUUUGAGGUUGUAACCCGUAAAAUGUUAAGUUUUUAGGGUUGUAUUUGGAAAGUUUUCCUUUUUCAAGAAAACUUCAUUUAUCUUUAGAUCAGCUUGACCUACUUCUUUUAGGAAUAAGAGUGUGAUAGUAAGCUUGAUUACUUCAUUCAUCCGUGUUUGAUGUAAUUGAGACUUGAGAGGCUAACCCUCAAGUGAGAUAGUAAAUUAAUUUCCGUCCACUGUUGUUUUAUCUGAAUUAUAUGUUGUUCAAAUGCCUUUAAUUUUAGAUAUUUUAGAUUAUCAAACAGAGGGAAUAAUUAUUUUAUUUGAGUAUUUGAUUAUCGCAGGCUGAAGCAAUUCUAUUAGCUCUAGGAGGGUAUGGGGAGAUAUGAGGUAUAUCCAGGACACAAAUAUUGAGAAUCAUUCUUAAAUAGAUAUCGCCAAAAGAGGAAAGAGUGGAACUUUGAUGAGUUAAUUAGGUUUAAUGUUUUGGAAGUAAGUGGCAGGGAAGUAUGGUUGAGUGAUAUAUUGUAGUUACACUGUAUAGGCACUUGAAUUUUUGUAAGCUGCCUAAAAUGAUUUUGGUUACACUUUGAGGGUUGCUUGAAACAAGGUUCUUGAGUCUAAUGUGACUAAUAGUACUAAGCUUACUCACUCUUGUAUUUUUUUUUCCGUAAUAGUUCUUGCUACUUUGAGUGAUGUAUAUAACUAACAAGUGAUCUCUUUAUUGAUCACAUUUCACCUCCAAAUUCUUAUUUCAGAACUCAAUAGUUGGUUUUUUUCCCGUAAUAGUUCUUGCUACUUUGAGUGAAGGCUGGCAUAAACAAGCAAUUAUCCGACUAUACAGAUAUUAGAGGGAGCGCUGGGUUCUCACUGAAGAAGGAAGAAUCUAUGCUACUGCAGGCUCUCCUGAAGUGCAAGUAUACCCGGCUAUACCACAAGAGGGUAUCUCGCCAGAUGAACUUGAGGUUGUCGGUUUCUGCUUGCUGUAGAUAUGGUUCUUUCUUCAAUUGCAUAUUAUCAGAAAAUAUUCAAAUAGCAGCUGUUUGACAGAAUCCUGAUCAUAUAGCAGGCUCAGGGUGUGCUGUGAAGAUUUGGUGGAGAUCCACAACUUAAGUCAAUGAUACACUGGGUUUCAGCAUCUCAGGCUACCUUUAAACAUAUCAAUUAUAGGUGUGGGUUUCCUGUUGCGAAAAAGACUUAUUUGAUCAACUAUACUAUCGUCUUCAUGGUGGUUCUCUCGUAUAAUGUCGUCUUCAUGGUGGUUCUCUUAUAACGGCUGCUACGUCAGGAAAACUAGAACAUUUUAAUGGCGUUUUCAUGGUGGUUCUCUCGUAUACGAUCUUCUUUCCAAACGAUCUUGGAACAUCCCAUUUUCAAAGAGUUGUACGUUGCCACAAAGUUGGGCGAGGAACUAUCGCGACUGUUCUUUAUGCUAUUAUGUCGGUCGUGUUUAAUUUCUCUAUACUUAGUCAUGUAUUUUUUUUGUGCUUAGCCAUGAUUUCUAUAUAUGUAACCUACAUCAAGUAAUUAACGGUGUUUCUUUUCAUGAUUUCAACUAUUUCUAUAGAGUAAUUAGGCUUAUGAUUUACAAAAGGUCUUG